UAAAGAAAACCAGCUGCUAAAAGGGAGGCUAUGUCUUUACACUGCUGUGUCAUUUUCUGAAUCAGAUUUUCAAAAGAAAUGUGUACUUCCUUUCAGGGAAAAGAUGCCCGAGAUGUAUGAUUUAUACAUGAAAAGUAGAAGCUGAAGAGAAAUCCCUACAGUGGAGACAAUGGCUGCAGAGCAAAGAGGUAAGUGGGUCAACUAUCUUCAUUAUAUUUUGAAAGAG
Molecule: unclassified non-coding RNA, 226 nt
Filed under: Hevea brasiliensis (rubber tree)
Lineage: Eukaryota; Viridiplantae; Streptophyta; Magnoliopsida; Malpighiales; Euphorbiaceae
Source: RNAcentral